GGGCAUCCUGCUUACCAUGCAAGUCGAGGGGAACGGCAUUGAGUGCUUGCACUCUUUGGACGUCGACCGGCGCACGGGUGAGUAACGCGUAUCCAACCUUCCCAUUACUGUGGGAUAACCUGCCGAAAGGCAGACUAAUACCGCAUAGUCUUCGAUGACGGCAUCAGAUUUGAAGUAAAGAUUUAUCGGUAAUGGAUGGGGAUGCGUCUGAUUAGCUUGUUGGCGGGGUAACGGCCCACCAAGGCAACGAUCAGUAGGGGUUCUGAGAGGAAGGUCCCCCACAUUGGAACUGAGACACGGUCCAAACUCCUACGGGAGGCAGCAGUGAGGAAUAUUGGUCAAUGGACGGAAGUCUGAACCAGCCAAGUAGCGUGCAGGAUGACGGCCCUAUGGGUUGUAAACUGCUUUUGUAUGGGGAUAAAGUUAGGGACGUGUCCCUAUUUGCAGGUACCAUACGAAUAAGGACCGGCUAAUUCCGUGCCAGCAGCCGCGGUAAUACGGAAGGUCCAGGCGUUAUCCGGAUUUAUUGGGUUUAAAGGGAGCGUAGGCUGGAGAUUAAGUGUGUUGUGAAAUGUAGACGCUCAACGUCUGAAUUGCAGCGCAUACUGGUUUCCUUGAGUACGCACAACGUUGGCGGAAUUCGUCGUGUAGCGGUGAAAUGCUUAGAUAUGACGAAGAACUCCGAUUGCGAAGGCAGCUGACGGGAGCGCAACUGACGCUUAAGCUCGAAGGUGCGGGUAUCAAACAGGAUUAGAUACCCUGGUAGUCCGCACAGUAAACGAUGGAUGCCCGCUGUUGGUACCUGGUAUCAGCGGCUAAGCGAAAGCAUUAAGCAUCCCACCUGGGGAGUACGCCGGGCAACGGUGAAACUCAAAGGAAUUGACGGA
This 887-nucleotide ribosomal RNA is filed under the name uncultured bacterium. Its description in RNAcentral is "bacterial SSU rRNA". It matches the Rfam family "Bacterial small subunit ribosomal RNA", at positions 37 to 917 of the family's 1533-position model. The record is from RNAcentral.